Molecule: ribozyme, 73 nt
Filed under: unclassified sequences
Description: HDV ribozyme from F. prausnitzii
Rfam family: HDV ribozyme from F. prausnitzii
Source: RNAcentral
GUUGCUCUGAUAAGCACACACCUCUUCGUGGUGAGCGGCAGGCAACGAUCAUACGAUCGGCGAAGAUGUGAGA